AUGCUGAAGCGGAGAUGUCCCUGUGGGCACAUGCAUCUGCUGGCCCAGCAAAGCCGGGCAGUGCUGGCAGGGUGGGCAGCCCCAAGGUCCGACCCGUGGGUGGAGGCAGGAGCAGUGCCACCCAGCCUCCUCGCCUGCCCUGAGGCUGCAGCUGCCUCCCGGACCAGCGCUGUAACACUCAUGGGAAGAAGUUGCUGCAAGGGGAAGGGGAAGAGGGACGGUCCUGGCUGGAGAGGGGGUAGGCUGCAAGACCUCUCUGGUCUCCGGCUGGCAGGGGCAGAGCAGCCUCCUGCCCUGACCUGCCUGCAGCGGGGCUCAGCCGGCUCUGCUUUGGGAAGCAGUGGUGCAAGGAUGCAAAACGCUUGUUUGUUUUUUUUCCUGACCAGCCUGGAGGCACCAUGUGGACAGAGCCUCUUCCCACGCCAGGCAGCCCCAGGACCGCCCACCAGCACAUGCAAAUCCCGGGAUGUUUCCUGGCUGCUUCUGAGCCUUGGCAGCAUCUUGCUUCUGGCUGAGGCUCGCAGGGAGGCUCCGACCCAGCUCUGCCGAGCGCCUUGCUUGCCUGCUCCUCCUUCGCCUGGGAAACGUGAGCCCAGAGCACGACCCUGGCCCAGUGCAGCAGCUCUGCUCCUCUGCAGCUGCGGCCCAGCCCCAGCCUCCCCGGAGCCGCCUGCACAGCACAGCCUGUGCCCGGGGCCAGGUGCUGGGAGCCCCGGUGUCAGCGCUGGCCCAGCGAGCACCCACGGCCAGGGGCAGCCCCACGCACGGGGACGCCGCCUGUUGUACAGGGUAUAGGAUGCUUUCCCUAGAAACGGACACAUUAAAUGCUCUGCAGUCUCGGCUCAGCCAUGUGAAGCAGCCAUGCAGCACUGGAUAAAUGAGUGGGCAUCUGAGAUCAUGGGUGACUGCAGCACACAGAGAAAGUCAUGCAAAAGGAAGACGCAGCUUAAGUGCCACAUCACGAACGUGUGCACGUGGUUUGGGCAGUUCAAAGACAGUUCCUUCAGUGAUGGGCAGUGCUAUUAUCUGAUAAUACCUGAAAUCACUUUAUUAGGUGCUACGUCCUGCCUCGGGUGAAUUAUUCCAGUGCUGUGACUCAGGAGAGCAGUUGCUGCUGGGGUGAUGGUCUGCACCUGCCGCUGGUGUCUCCUGGCACACAGGUAUGAACAUGCUGCCUGCCAGCAGCCCUCGCUCCUCCAGGCUCUGCACUGCUCACCCCUGUUCCAAUUAUAAAUCUCUGUCAGUUAAGGAUCCUUCAGAACUCUCCACGAAAUCUAGAAAGUUUCUAUCCUUAGCAGAGAGCUGAUUCUGACCUUCCCAGGAUGAAGCCCAUGGGCCAUGCCAAUGCUGCAGCUGGAGCACAGCUGCCGAGCCCGAGCAGCUCGGCUCACGCUUGUCCCGCCGAGCACGAGGCCCCGCGCUCUCCAGGAACACUCCUGUUGGCAUGGACCGGAGUCCUGCAGGUUGGAAAGCACACGGUGCCCGAGGAGAGUGCUCAAAUACCUCUGACACCGAGACCCUCUCCCAAGUCAGAAGCUACAGUGAACUCAUCUGACAGGCAAACACGGCCACGCCGGUGUGCGAACAAACGGCAGCAUCUGUCCGCCUGGCUUCAGUGGUGCUCCUCGUGCGAGGGCUGCGCUCCAAACGCCGGCGGUGCCCGGAGCCUCGGAGCCAAGUGCUCGCUCUGUGCUCCAGCGCGGGGCGCAGCCUCCCCGCUGCACCCAGGUAAGUACACGGGAGCUGCUGAGGCCCAGGCCGGGCGUGCAGGAGCCCAGCGCCCGCCAGCAGGAGAGCAGCAGAGACUCGCAGCCCCCAGAUACAGGAGGAAAGGCUCGCUACAUGCAGAGGGCUAAAUCUGGUGGCUGUUGUCUGUGGCGCAGUGGGAGCCUGGCCCUGCUGGCUUGACACCGCUGCCCUGGGCGCUGCCCGGGCACAGAGCGGGGCUGUGCUGGUGGCCAGGGACGCUGCGUGGCCGGGGCAGGCGCUGUGACGGGGUGGGCAGUGAGGGCAGGGGCUGGGACGGAGCUGCCGGGAGCCUUGGGCAUGCAGCACGCGUGCGAGCAGGGCUGUGCCAGAACCCCUGCUCUCGGCUUGCGGUCUCCAUGUUUUGAGGAGGCUGACGGCACAUCGGCGGUUUGCAUUUGAAAAGUGUCUUAUAAUUGUAUGCUAGGUGGUAGCUGUUUGUUUCCCUGGCUGGAACCCCCGGGGUGCAGAAGUCAUCUCUCCUGGUCUUGUGUGAGGCUUCGCCCCCACAAAUCUGUGCACAGAGAGAGGAAGGUGCUGCUGCCAGGCCACGCCUCUGCAGAGCCAGGUGCGAGCCCCCCGUGCAUGCCUGGAGCUGGGUCUUGGGGCGGUGUGAGCCUGCGCACGCCUCCAUCCAUCGUCUCCAGCCAGGGUGCUCGCCCCAGGGCCGCGCUGCCCACCCGCUGCACACCCCAGGAGACACAGCAGCACUCAGAACCCUCUCAUGCUCAUCCUUCUCCAGUACUGCAGCCUCUUCUGCAGGUCUUGGCUGGCUCCAGCAGGUGAGGAACCACACGUCUGAAACAUUUUGUGCUCCUUUUUCCGGGUUCUGGUUACGGCUGUGGUGGCAGGGAGUGCUGGGCUCCUCCGGUGUUGCCUCCCUCCCCUAGCACGGCACUGCUGUCGGUGGCAGUGACAUGAGAACAAUACUUUAUGUAAAUAACUUCCAAGCGGAGUUACUCAUUAUUAAUGCAGACAGUUCUGAAGGCGAAAGCAAACAGCAUUUGGCAGCAAGAACUUUUAAUGAGAAUGUCAUUAAGGAAUUCAGACUGCGAACCACAAAGUGAUUCCUGGUGCACCCGGCUGACUUCUCUGCCUUUCUGUUUCUUGCCUGUCCACUAAACAUAAAAAUGUCAUUUGUUUUUAUAACCCAGAAUCCAAGCUUUCUCUCUCUCCUUUUAUUAACCAAUUUAUUAGCAGGACAAGAGCAGCCAGCUGGAGUUGGAGGGCAGUGGCCUAUGAACCCUUUUUUUGCAAUCGUCCUAAUUAUUUAUUGCUAUCAGACAUCAGUGUUUCUAUAAAUUAAACCCUCUCUUCCCAUAGCUGCCCCAUGGGUUUAAAUCAAUACAGUGCAUCUCACAUAAUAUGCUAUUAUUAAUAAGCAAUGGCUUGAGAUCAUUCUACAUAACAUUACUCCGUAGCCUAGGAUGUGCUAAACCAGGGGGAGCGGGGGCCGGGACGAGGCGGAACCAGCCCAGGUAAGGAGGAACACGGCUGGUGCCCACCAGGCAAGGACUGGUGUGGCCUCAGAGCUGCAUCAACCCUAAAACCGAAGGAAAACUUAAGAUCUGAAAUGCUCGUGGAACAGCAUUUCUGGUCUAUGGAACACAGCGGCAUUCUGAAAUGCAUUUCCUCUUGAACUGGAACAAAACUUAAACAUUCACGGUAGAACAGGAGGAAAAAAACCACUUUAAUUUAGAAGCACUGGAGCUGUCUUCUUAAUAAUAUCAAAUUGUUUCAUUAUGUAUAAAAAUAUAUUAUCAAAUACAAUAUGCUACAUAUUAUAACGCUAAAUAAAUAUUUCAUAUUAUAUGCA
Anser cygnoides (Swan goose) is the source of this 3562-nucleotide long non-coding RNA. Lineage: Eukaryota; Metazoa; Chordata; Aves; Anseriformes; Anatidae. The record is from Ensembl.